CCGAGUCCAAGGCAAUCUGCAACAGACUCGUCGAGUUGUUCUUCCAACUCGUCGAGUUCCUGCCUAUCUUCAUGCAAGUCGUCGAGUACACCUAUGUGACUCCCCAAGUUACUACGCGACUCAUGCCAAAUCUCUAGUCUGACUCGCCGAGUCAUCUCCCAGACUCGUCGAGUCCAACCGUGAAGUUCCAUAAUCUCGAGUCACAGAGCCACUCCCUUACUCCAAACACUAGAUCAGGGUCCCUAUGGUUCAUUAGCAACAUAAAGUUGCUACCUUUACGUGCUUCCAUGACCCAUUCAUCAAAAACCAAGUUAAAAUGGAGCUUAACUCAUUAGGGAUGGCUUUUACAUGGCUAAUCAAAGGGCUUUCUUCACAUAGAAUCCAUAUGGAACUCAGAUCUGGAGUUUCAACUCCAGAUCUAACUCAUGCAUCAAGAUCUCAACAUAAAUUCUUCCCAACAAACCCUAAAGCUCCAAAAAGGUGGAUCUAGAAGGAAUAAAGCCAAGAUGAUGAAUCCUUACCUCAAAACAACCCCCAACUAAAGAGUAAACCAAAUCUCCUCAAACCUUCUUGAUCCAAGCUCCUUAGUCUUGAAGAUUUCCUUCUUAAACCCCUUAUCCAAGCUCCAAAAUGCUCCCAAGGCUCUUCUCUUAUGAUUUUAGGGCUUCUGGUCCUCAGAGGGGUAAUAAGGGGCCAAAAUGGGGGCUUAAGGCUCUUUAAAUAGGGUGCAAACCCUAUGAAUUAGGGUUUCUCAUUCCAGCACAGACUCACCGAGUCCAGCCUGCUGAAUCGCCGAGUUGGUUACUAAACACGUUACCACAAUUGCGACUCGACUCGUCGAGUCUGUCCAUUGACUCGCCGAGUCGAUCCUCCUUAAUUACACCAAGCACCUUGAACUUGCACUUCUGAACUCAGGGUGUUACAAUUCCCCCUACUUAAAUUAGGCUUCGUCCUCGAAGCCUGCAACAACACAUCCUAGAUGACUCUCCCUCGAUAUAGCUCCUGGUCUCAACCGACCUAGGUUCCUCCGAACACUGCUAUCAGACCUAUAUAAAGUCCAACUCUUCCCUCCCAGAGUUACAACAACUUAUUCAAGCCGACCACCGACUUCUUUCUCUGAUAAGAACUAUUAUUAACCAAUGAUCACCUGAUGAUACUUUCAUCACUCCAAUUCACAACAAUCACUUGACCCUUACCAAGCUAGAUAUCGCCCUGAACCACCGGUUCCUGACCCAGUACCAAGCUGCUACCCCUUUCCUCGACUGACAUAUCCUUUAUCGAAUUCACUUCUGGGACUCAUCCCACUUUCUUUUUCGAAACCAACUUAUUUCUUUCCGAGCUGACAGGACGGCACAUCCUUCAGCUCCUGAGCAACUCUCAUGAGCUCUCCCCUACAGUCACAUAUGCAUGCUGAAUGUGCUCUAACAUCCUCGGGCUGGAAAACCCGAUACACUGACGAUACCUUCAAACAUCCCUAGGAUGAAUUACCGCUGCAUACAUAACUUCUUGAUCACAACCAUACUGGAAAAUCCAAGGCUCCCUCCUUGCAUCCCCUCUGAACUCCUCUAGUUCUACACUACCAGAAAUCCUUCUGUAACCUCAACAAACACCCAACCCGGAUGUGUUUCCAUACCACUGGUACAAUCCCAGUACUUACUACCCAUAGCUGAAGCAUUGUCGAUUAUCCAUUUGCUCCACUUUUGGAGUACCCACGCUCCUUCCGGAGCUACAUGCCUUUCCUUUCCAAGAAAUCCACUCUACAACCUUUACUGCACCUACACGAGCCAUUGAGCUACACUUCACUCUACAUUAUCCAUGUAGAGAAACUACUAUUCUCGAACUUCCAUAUACCCUGAAUCUGCUCGCCAGGACUCUCGGGUCCAUGCACUACUUUCCACUAACAUGAUCAAUACUUAGGGCCAGACCAUAUCAAUUAUCAUCCCCUGGUGACGCUUUUCCUCAUUCUCCUCGUACCAAUCCACUAACAUACAGAGUCUUCAGCAUCACUGGACCGCCUUACCAGGCCUUCAGCCUAUCUUGACCACUCUCGGAACCUUCAACAUAUCUGGACUGCCCUCCUGGGCCUUCAGUCUGUCUGGACCUUUCCCCCGAGCCUUCGGCCUGACUGGUACGCCCACAGGCCUUCAAUCUGUCCGGACCGCUCAAACUGUCUUAUUUCACCCUGAACAUUUCCUUCCGGGAAUCUCUCCCGUACAUACUGUUCUAGCCCUCUUGGGGUUCCAAACUCUAACUCCAUUAUACUCAAAUCUCGGCCUAACCCUAGGCCCAACCCUGGGCUGUAUCUCGCCCCACUCGUCUGCCACUUACUCAUACCAGCCCACGCUCUUGGCUGACUGAAACACUCCUGAAACCCACACAGCUAAUUGACCUCUCAUGCUGUCGAUCCUCGUGAGAAUUUUCCAAUUCUCUCCACUUAGAGCACUGAGUACAAACCACCGGUGACUGAACCGUCAUAAUCAAUCAUUCCUACUCAACAUACUCCUCUUACCCAUGAACUGAUCCUGAAACAAGCAACUUCCACAAAAUCACGUUUCGACCUCGUACAUCUCGAACUCUAAGGGAGUUCGACCCUCAGUUGAGUAUUCCUCAAAUUGCAAAUGCUAUACACGACACUCGGACCAAAAAGCCUAAUUCCCCACCAACAAUUCCCAUGGAUGAUAACCAAUUAAGACUCCCAAUACCAAAACCCUCGAUCAUACGAUAAACCCGACGAAAAGACAAACGAAUACCAUACCAUGAUUCAUGUGAACAAGACUAGCAGAUAUAAAAUACUCCAUAACAACCAUAAGAUAACAAGAUAUCAAGAAGGAAACAUACCCGCAGCUGUAUCCAGAUCUGCCCUGACCUCCUCUGCUAUAAGCUGAAAAGCACGUCCCUGAGCCCUCGGAGGCUCUGCUCUACCCUGACCUCCACCCGUAAUCCUUAAAGUGGUUGGUGAUGGAGCCUGCACCGGUCCGGCAGUAAGCUGAGGAAAGUUGACCCUCAUGUGACCAACCUGAUGACACUGAUAACAAAUCCUCAUAUCCUAAACUGGGGCUGACUGACAACAAUCCCUCACAUAAUGCCCCUCUCUCCCGCACUUGCGACACACACCACCGGACCUACAAACUCCGGUAUGACUCUUCCCGCACCUCCCACAAGUGCGGCUGCCCUGAUCUCCCAACCUAGAAUCAACGGGCUUGGACCGUUUCGGUGCCGGCUGCGACUGCGCCGCGGCCUGACUUUGCUCUCUGAAUUGUAACUCAAUCUCCAACUUACGCCUCCUGGUGGCCUUCUACAACUCUAACAAGGUAUCACAUCUCUGCGUGGACACAAACUGCCUGAUGUCCCUCUUAGGCAUACUCAGAUAUCGGGACAUCUGAGCCUGCUCCGAAGCAAACUUAGGGAAAAACAUCGCCCUCUCAGUAAACAUCCUAGUGAUCUCCGUCACCGAAUCUGUAUCCUGCUUUAGCUACAAGAACUCCUGAGCCAACCUCUCCCUCUCAACUCGUGGAACAUAACGAGUGUUGAACAUCUCCCGGACUGAUCCCAUGCAACCGCAGCCCGCUGCGCAUCAGAAUAAGACCCCAUAGUCCCCCCCCACCAAUCCUUCGCCCCGAGCCUCAACAGGUUUAGAGCACACCUCACCCUCUGAUCAGCAGGGCAUGAACAUGUGAAGAAACACCCCUCCACAUCCGAAAACCAUCGCAUCGCAACGAUCGGAUCCUGAACUCCAUCGAAAGCAGGGGGAUUCGUAUUGUCGAAGUCCUGAUACUGAAAACCUCUACCGGCUCCUCCUCUUGCCGCUGCUACAGCCGCUGUAGCCACCGCGGCAGCCAUCUCAGUAAGAGCUGCAUAGCGCUUAUCAAAGUACUCAACCAUGGCGGUCUUGAUCGACCCAAACAGUUCCGACAACUCAGCCCGGAACAUAGCAGCAACCUCAUCAUGCAGGAUCUCACGAAUCCUGGCAUCCAACUCAUCCGUACUUAUCUGGCCAACAACCUCGGGUGGUGCUGACCCCUCCUGACCACCCUCUCACGCUCCUGAUCCCAAACCGGAUCCUGCCUCGAAACGUCUCGUAAUCGCCAUUCUGCAAUACACCAUGAGAUCCUCAGAAACCUCAUAUAACCACCCAGAAUGACUCUCUAAUCAACCACCCAGGGGUUGUGACUUCCUUGCUACGCGUAUGGGUCCAAUGCUUUCAGUAGUACGGGCCCAUACUACCUUCCACACCUACCCAUAUUUGUCUCAAGUAUCAUCACAAUGCCCCAAGCACUAACGAAUAUAGCAAGCACUCUAUCCUCACUCCUAGAGGAACACUAAAACUCUCAUCAAAGGAGACCCUAGGCUAGCAGGCAUCACAAUCAGGCAAAUCUAUCAUGCACUUCCUGAAGAUCCCUAGCCUAACACUAGCAUGAUGUUCUAACAUAUCACAUAAACAAAUAACUUGUAUGGUAAUUUUGGGGUAACUUACUGGCUCCGGCUGAUCGUACCCUCUGCGUCCUCUUUUACUUAUUUUUAAAAACCAUUUUUAAUUUCUCUUUGAAAACUCUCCUUGAUUUGAGACUGAAUUCACACGAAUGUUCCUCCAAUUCACUCAAACCAAGGCUCUGAUACCAACUUGUAACGUCCAAAAUUUUUCAACCAAUUUAAACUUUUCAAAAACAACCCUUAUUCAUUAAUUCAUUACAAAAAGGUUUUCAAUUCAUUUAUUAUCAGAGUAUUUCCCAGAACCAUAUCAUAAAUACAUAAAACACGAGGAGCGGUACGAUCACGCCUACGCCUUGCCACGAUCUUCUGAAGUACCUGAAACAAUACACUGAAAACUGUAAGCCCGAAAGCUUAGUGAGUUGCCCCAAAAAUACCAACCACAUAUACCAUACUCAUAACACAUCAUAUCAUAAACAGAACAGCCAUGCACUUCGGGUCUACUGCGUGACAGGUCCGCUGCACCGGGCCUUCAGUCCACCUGGUCCACCCUUCGAGUCUAGCCAUAUAGAUCGAGUCUGCAGUGUGGUUGGUCUGCCCGCACCGGGCCUUCAACCCACCUGGUCCACUCUCUGAGUCUACAGUAUGACUGGUCUGCCCGCACCAGGCCUUUAGUUGGCCUGGUCCACUCUCCGAGCCUCGACACGUCUGGUCCGCCCUCGUGGGGCCUACAGCCUAUCCGGACCGCUCGCUGGGCCUUCGGGAUACCGACCUAACCGGUCACUAACAUAGCAUCAUCCUAUAUACCAGGAUUCCGACCUUAACCAGCUCUCUAACAUAUACAAUCCUAACUACCAGAUUGCAAACAUAUAGCAAAGCAAUAACAUAACAACUACCCGGAUUUCCAUCCGAUAAAGGGCCGGCCUUGGUGCCUUAGACCCUGUCGAUAUAGUGAGGAUAACUCACCUCGCAAAGCCGAUCUGCGGAAAUAAGAUGACGCUGCUCCAACCUCCGAUACGAACUCCACCACUGAUCAAUACCAAAAGACUGAACUCAAUAAAUACCAAUAAUCACCAAAAUACCUUUGAAGUCAAUUGGUCAACUCUUGGUCAAAGUCAAAGUCCUCAGUCAAAGUCCACCUUUCUGUGUGACCCUACUCGCCGAGUCGCCCCGUCGACUCGCCAAGUCCCAUAAUUCUGGGUCCCUUCUGGCUCAACUCACCGAGUCCUCCCUCGACUCACCGAUUCACCGUUCAACCAGAAAAGGUUAGGACUCCACGACCAAACCCGCCGAGUCCAAAAACAGACUUGCCGAGUCCAAGGCAAUCUGCAACAGACUCGCCGAGUUGUUCUUCCAACUCGUCGAGUUCCUGCCUAUCUUCAUGCAAGUCGUCGAGUACACCUAUGUGACUCGCCAAGUUACUACGCGACUCAUGCCAAAUCUCUAGUCUGACUCGCCGAGUCAUCUCCCAGACUCGUCGAGUCCAACCGUGAAGUUCCAUAAUCUCGAGUCACAGAGCCACUCCCUUACUCCAAACACUAGGUCAGGGUCCCUAUGGUUCAUUAGCAACAUAAAGUUGCUACCUUUACAUGCUUCCAUGACUCAUUCAUCAAAAACCAAGUUAAAAUAGAGCUUAACUCAUUAGGGCUGGCUUUUGCAUGGCUAAUCAAAGGGAUUUCUUCACAUAGAAUCCAUAUGGAACUCAGAUCUGGAGUUUCAACUCCAGAUCUAACUCAUGCAUCAAGAUCUCAACAUAAAUUCUUCCCAACAAACCCUAAAGCUCCAAAAAGGUGGAUCUAGAAGGAAUAAAGCCAAGAUGACGAAUCCUUACCUCAAAACAACCCCCAACUGAAGAGUAAACAAAAUCUCCUCAAGCCUCCUUGAUCCAAGCUCCUUAGUCUUGAAGAUUUCCUUCUUAAAUCACUUAUCCAAGCUCCAAAAUGCUCCCAAGGCUCUUCUCUUAUGAUUUUAGGGCUUUUGGUCCUCAGAGGGGUGAUAAGGGGCCGAAAUGGGGGCUUAAGGCUCCUUAAAUAGGGUGCAAACCCUAGGAAUUAGGGUUUCUCAAUCCAGCACGGACUCGCCGAGUCCAGCCUGCUGACUCUCCGAGUUGGUCACUAAACACGUGACCACAAUCACGACUCGACUCAUCGAGUCUAUCCAUUGAAUCGCCGAGUCGAUCCUCCUUAAUUACACCAAGCACCCUGAACUUGCACUUCUGAACUCGGGGUGUUACAAGACUGGUCCGAAUUCGUAGUUACAGUGAUAGGCAGUUUUGUAAAAAUCAUCAAAAAAUGUAGGAAAAUUGAGUGAAUAUGUUCAAGUAUUCAUUUUAAAGGUAUAAACCUAAACUAUUUGCAUCUAAUACAGGUUUGAAAACUAAAAAGUUUAAGAAGUUUAAAACAGUCCGUGAAUGAACAUUAACUUUUCUGUUGAAAGCUGAUGUUUGAGUUUAAUUGUGUUCUUGGUGCUUUAACUUGUAUCCCCCCUUAUAAACUUAAGAAAACAUGAAAAUAUAGGGGUAUGAACUUACCUUGAAUGAUCUCUUAGGAUGGAUGAUGGAGAAAAGGAGUUUCCAAGUCAAGAACACUUGGGAGAUGCUUGAAGAUUUGAAGGUUCUAUGAACAAAUAUGAUGAUAUUUGUGUAAGCAAUCCAGAAUUUGGAGGAAGGAUAGUAGAAUAUUUAUGUGUAGGAGGAAGAUACUUACCAAAUGUGGAGGAAAAACCCAAUAUCAGCCUUUGAAUCUCGAAUUUUAGAGAGAGAAAGUGAGAGAGAUGUGUUUGUUCUUCAUGAGAAAGAGUGAAUAAAGUGGGGGAGAGAUAAGGAUUUUUCCCAUCCUUGAGUAUUGAACCUUGCUGGAGAGAGGUGGUGAAAGGACAAUUAGCUGACUAGGGCUGAUGGGAAUAGUUACAUAAAGCAUGAAUAGUGACCUGGAGUGGGUAUGAGAGGUUGCUUGUGUCAUAACUUUAUGGCAAAGUCAACACUCUAUCACCAAAUCCUACCCACUAGAUAUUAUUCUUAGACUAAGAUUUUCCCCCAAAAAUGAUUAAAAUAUGAAUAUUUAGGGUCUUAUAUGACAAAAUAUAAUUUUGGGUGAAAAUCCCGUGUUAAAAUCAUGAAAAACGGGCUUAAAACGCAAAAGUGGUCUAAAAUCGGGAAAAUAGAAGCGAAUAUGCGAAAAUCUGAACUCUGGCAGAAGGUUCGGUUCUUAGAAGGUGAGGACCAAAGGUAGAGAGGAGGAACCAAAGGUGAGGCUCGUUUGUCUGAUGAGAACCGAGAGGGGGUUCGGUCCGAGCACUUCGCAUGCUAACACGGGAAUGGAGGGGAAAUAGACCGAGGCUCGGUCCUGAAGGUAGUUUUGGUUUUGACAGGUUCGGUCCCUAUGGUUCGGUUCUUAACCUAGUUUCGGUUCCUAUAGGGGCUUCAGUUCUAAUUAAGGUUUCAGUCCUUAAGGGCUAUUUUUCAAGUUUUCUUCCCGUUUUGAGUGAUUUUUGGCCAAGUUAAGGGUCGGGAUGACUCGGAUGACUAUAAAAAGUUGAGAGAGAUUUUGAGAGAGAUAUGGGAGAGAUUUGGGACAGAUUUGAGAGAGAGAGAGAGAUUGAUAAAGAGAUAUUGAGAGAGACUUUUUUGUGACCUUUUUGGAUGUUGAGCUUCGCAAUGCAAGGUUGGUACAUCCCGUUAAGAUUUGUUAUGAUGGUUAUAUGCCCUCGAGGGGUACGGAAUAACGUUUUAUCGAAUAGUUUCAUCAGUUACCCCGAUUAGGGUUUAGAAUCUCUAAACGUGUGAACUUUCCAAGUGAUAACUUCUUAUUAAAAUAGUAAGUUGUACGAUAGUAACAUAAUGUAAACCCUAAUAUACAAGGGUUAGAUGAGUUGACCGAUUUGACCUAUUGGCUUUAUUUGAUUUUGGCUUGAUCGGAAAUUGACGGUUGUCACAACUAGAUGAAGUUAUAUUAUGAGGCGUGAUAGUUGGUUAUGUGCUAGGAAGUAUGCUAGUUGUAUAUGUGGUAUGCUUGUAAGGAAGACCAUAGGAGAGCCUAUGGCACUUGGAUGUAAGACCAUGUGGAGAACCCAUGGCUUUCUUACAAAAGACCAUGGGAGAGCCCAUGGAAACCAGAUGUAAGACCAUUUGGAGAGCCCAUAACUUUCCAAUUAAAGACCAUGGGAGAGCCCAUGGCACUUAGGUUUAAUACCAUGUGGGGAGCCUAUGACAUCCUGGAGUAAGACCCUUGGGAUGAGCCCAUGACAUCCCUAUAUGUUGUAUGCAUGACUUAUGUGGUUUAUGUAGCUUUUAUAGGUAAUAUGGUUGUGUGAUUAUGUGGAUUGUAUGGGGGUAUGCUCUGGGGAACUCACUGAGCAUUAGCUUACAGUUUGUGGAUUUGUUUCAAUUACAUCUGAGCCUAAUGGCAAGGGCAAGGCUUGAAGAUGCGACAUGCACACUCUCUCAGGCGUUUUUAUGGGACACUCUGAUGUUUAAAAUAAUAUUGUUGAUGUUAUGAAUUUGAAAACAAAUGUACUUGAGAUUUUAUGGUUUAUUGAAAAUGUUUUGACUACUUAAAAAUGAAAAUUUUCUUUUGAAAAAUUGGGUGGUAACAAUACUCCCCCAACUUAUAUAUUGAGCUCUCUUAUCAAUAAAAAAACUAUCAUCUAUCUCUUCGAGUGUUUUGACAGUAGAAAAUAUUGAUUCUUGAGUUAUAAAAAGCACAUUCUGCUAUGAGAGAAUUUGAGUAAGGAUAUUGUUUUGUGCAACAACAUUUUCACUUUGCCAAUUUAGAGUUUCCUUGUAACAUCCCGACUCCCAAGUAUUUCCUUAUUAUUUAUUGAUCUUUAUUAUUGUAACUUCAGGAGUGACUCGAAAAGUUGUGAGCCUAACUCAUCGAGUAGAGUCCGAUUUGACCACGUGGGUUUAAUGAUCAACUCGACGAGUCAGAGAGCUGACUCGCCGAGUAGGCGCUAUGAGGUGAAACCCUAAAUCUUUGGGGUUGGGGCCUAUUUAAGAGAACUUAUGUCCUCAUUUCCGCCUCACCAGCUGUCCAAAUCCCCUUUGUAAAACCCUAAACGCUUGUAGUGAGCUAAGAGAGCUAUAGGGCUAAUUUUUGGAGUGUUCAAGUGCAUCUUUUGAGGAGAUCGAAUAGGAGUUUAUCCAGCAAGGAACGAGGAGAAACUGUUGGAUCUAGUGCUAUAUCGACCAAAGCUUCUAUGGAAGGUAAAAGCCUACACCUCUAUCAUCUUAUUAGUUAGAUCUCAUGAUUAUGGAAGUUAAGGCUUUACCACCUUUUGUUGGGACAUUGAGUGCAUUGAGUCUAUCAGGAGGUCUAGACUUCAGAUCUGGACCUUGUGAGGUCCAUAAACUCCAAAGGUACCAACUUUAUUCAGCCAUAAAAGAGUAUUUGUGCCUAAACACCCUUGUUAGAGUUGUAAUGGCAUUUUGGAGCAAAAUAUUCCAUGCAUGGAAGUAAUGAUCGAGGCUUUACGUGACUUUCGAGCCUUGGGAGCCUAGAUCUAGGGUGUGGAGCAGUAGAUAUGACUUAAGAAUUCUGAAUGAGAAUUCUGAAUGAGAAUUCAGACUGAAGGGACUCGCUGAGUCAACGAGUCGACUAGGGUUUCCCCGAUGAGUCUGGAAAAGGGUGACUCGGCGAGUUCAUGAGACAAAUCGACAAGUUGAGAUGGGUUUUUGCGACAUUUUGAGGAACACUGGGGACUCGACGAGUCACGUAACUGCACUCGACGAGCUGGAUCAACAUGGGCAGUUGGCUUGAGUAUUGGCUUCUCUUGACUUUAGGGUUUGGUCAAGAUAGGGUCUAUGGGGGCCAUGGAGGGGUAAAAUGGUCUUUUACCCAUCUCAAGAGUUAGAAAGAGUUUAGCGUGAGUUAUAUGACAUUUUGAUAUUUAUGAGUUAAUUAGAGAUGCUUAUUGCAUGUAGGCGGAGAUUAGGUUGUUUGAAGGGUAUCCAGUUUUCUUUGCUUACUUACGAGGUGAGUCUUCUCACUAUACUUACCAUGAGUGGUAUUUAUGUGUGACUGGAGGGUCUUAUGUGCUUACUUGAGUACCGUGAUAUUAUACAUUUUGUCUAUGUGAUAUAUAUAUAUAUAUAUAUAUAUAUAUAUAUAUAUAUAUAUAUAUAUAUAUAUAUAUAUGAUAUAN
Molecule: long non-coding RNA, 10569 nt
Filed under: Lactuca sativa (garden lettuce)
Lineage: Eukaryota; Viridiplantae; Streptophyta; Magnoliopsida; Asterales; Asteraceae
Description: long non-coding RNA (LSAT_LNC005175)
Source: RNAcentral